RNAcentral lists this ribosomal RNA (294 nucleotides) under uncultured bacterium. Its description in RNAcentral is "partial 16S ribosomal RNA". It matches the Rfam family "Bacterial small subunit ribosomal RNA", at positions 332 to 620 of the family's 1533-position model. The record is from RNAcentral.
CUAACCUACGGGACGUAGCAGUAGGGAAUCUUCCACAAUGGGCGAAAGCCUGAUGGAGCAACGCCGCGUGGGUGAAGAAGGUCUUCGAAUCGUAAAACCCUGUUGUUAGAGAAGAAAGUGCGUGAGAGUAACUGUUCACGUUUCGACGGUAUCUAACCAGAAAGCCACGGCUAACUACGUGCCAGCAGCCGCGGUAAUACGUAGGUGGCAAGCGUUAUCCGGAUUUAUUGGGCGUAAAGGGAACGCAGGCGGUCUUUUAAGUCUGAUGUGAAAGCCUUAGGCUUAACCUGAGUA